GGCAUAAGCCAGCUUGACUGCGAGCGUGACGGCGCGAGCAGGUGCGAAAGCAGGUCAUAGUGAUCCGGUGGUUCUGAAUGGAAGGGCCAUCGCUCAACGGAUAAAAGCUACCCCGGGGAUAACAGGCUGAUACCGCCCAAGAGUUCAUAUCGACGGCGGUGUUUGGCACCUCGAUGUCGGCUCAUCACAUCCUGGGGCUGAAGUAGGUCCCAAGGGUAUGGCUGUUCGCCAUUUAAAGUGGUACGCGAGCUGGGUUCAGAACGUCGUGAGACAGUUCGGUCCCUAUCUGCCGUGGGCGCUGGAGAACUGAGGGGGGCUGCUCCUAGUACGAGAGGACCGGAGUGGACGCAUCACUGGUGUUCGGGUUGUCAUGCCAAUGGCACUGCCCGGUAGCUAAAUGCGGAAGAGAUAAGUGCUGAAAGCAUCUAAGCACGAAACUUGCCCCGAGAUGAGUUCUCCCUGAGACUUAGAGUCUCCUGAAGGAACGUUGAAGACGACGACGUUGAUAGGCCGGGUGUGUAAGCGCAGCGAUGCGUUGAGCUAACCGGUACUAAUG
Molecule: ribosomal RNA, 556 nt
Filed under: Staphylococcus aureus
Lineage: Bacteria; Bacillati; Bacillota; Bacilli; Caryophanales; Staphylococcaceae
Description: bacterial LSU rRNA
Rfam family: Bacterial large subunit ribosomal RNA
Source: RNAcentral